RNAcentral lists this ribosomal RNA (253 nucleotides) under uncultured bacterium. RNAcentral's name for it is "partial 16S ribosomal RNA". It matches the Rfam family "Bacterial small subunit ribosomal RNA", at positions 524 to 776 of the family's 1533-position model. The record is from RNAcentral.
UACGGAGGGUGCAAGCGUUAUCCGGAUUCACUGGGUUUAAAGGGUGCGUAGGUGGGCAGGUAAGUCAGUGGUGAAAUCUCUGGGCUUAACCCGGAAACUGCCGUUGAUACUAUCUGUCUUGAAUAUAGUGGAGGUGAGCGGAAUAUGCCAUGUAGCGGUGAAAUGCUUAGAUAUGACAUAGAACAUCGAUUGCGAAGGCAGCUCGCUACACUAUGAUUGACACUGAGGCACGAAAGCGUGGGGAUCAAACAGG